GUUUGAGGAGCAAACAGGGUUUGAUAUCGGGGUAGUGCGAUUAGUUACACCUGUCAGCUAGGCAACGGGAGUCUUGAACUAUUAUAGCAGCAGUUAACGCCAUUAAGUUGAGGGCCAGGGGAGUACGGCGUCAUCCCCACCUUCCAAAGGAAUGUCCGGGGCCGUGCCCAAGGGGUGGACCACGUGGUUUAAUGGGAAGUAAGGACAAGGGCCGUGCCAGGCCCGGGCAUUCAAUCAACUUUCCAGGGCAGGAUCGGAGCACUCGGGAACAGCAGACAGGCAAUGUUUGGGAAGGUCAGGACCAUCUUGAGAAAGUUCAUUAAAUGUCAAGGCGAGUAAGGUUCUUGUCGUUAGUUAGAAGCAAGUCACGGGGUGCACCGAAGGAGGGGCCCGGUGACAAACCGGAGGAAGGUGGGGAUGCGUCAAGUUAUCC
Molecule: ribosomal RNA, 433 nt
Filed under: Pseudomonas sp. MFAF49a
Lineage: Bacteria; Pseudomonadati; Pseudomonadota; Gammaproteobacteria; Pseudomonadales; Pseudomonadaceae
Description: bacterial SSU rRNA
Rfam family: Bacterial small subunit ribosomal RNA
Source: RNAcentral